RNAcentral lists this ribosomal RNA (495 nucleotides) under uncultured bacterium. RNAcentral's name for it is "partial 16S ribosomal RNA". It matches the Rfam family "Bacterial small subunit ribosomal RNA", at positions 28 to 523 of the family's 1533-position model. The record is from RNAcentral.
GAUGAACGCUGGCGGCGUGCUUAACACAUGCAAGUCGGGCGAAGCAGUUAAGUUGAUUUCUUCGGAUUGAUUCUUGACUGACUGAGCGGCGGACGGGUGAGUAACGCGUGGGUGACCUGCCCCAUACCGGGGGAUAACGGCUGGAAACGGCUGCUAAUACCGCAUAAGCGCACAGAGCUGCAUGGCUCGGUGUGAAAAACUCCGGUGGUAUGGGAUGGGCCCGCGUCUGAUUAGGCAGUUGGCGGGGUAACGGCCCACCAAACCGACGAUCAGUAGCCGGCCUGAGAGGGCGACCGGCCACAUUGGGACUGAGACACGGCCCAAACUCCUACGGGAGGCAGCAGUGGGGAACAUUGCACAAUGGGGGAAACCCUGAUGCAGCGACGCCGCGUGAGCGAAGAAGUAUUUCGGUAUGUAAAGCUCUAUCAGCAGGGAAGAUAAUGACGGUACCUGACUAAGAAGCCCCGGCUAACUACGUGCCAGCCGCCGCAGUAA